Cynoglossus semilaevis (tongue sole) is the source of this 639-nucleotide long non-coding RNA. RefSeq lists it as uncharacterized. The record is from RefSeq and is a predicted model, not a curated record. NCBI's taxonomy places the organism in Eukaryota, Metazoa, Chordata, Actinopteri, Pleuronectiformes, Cynoglossidae. The transcript is spliced from 3 exons.
CUAAAAAAAAAUUCAGAAUGCUGUGUCCCUUGCACCCACUGUAUUCCAAACUGACUAUGUUACCAUGACGCAUGGGCCACUGCUUUAAAAACACUCUGAGAGUCUAUUGAGCAAAGAAAAAGCUAUUCAUCAAAUUUGACCAGAAAAAUGUCUGCAGGUUUUAGGUCGCCUGAGGUUGACGGAAAGGUGAUGGAAAUAUAUGUCAGGGUCUGAAAAGAAGUCGAUUGAGAGAGUGAUGUCACUUGCAGUGGAAAAAUGACCCAGUAGGUGACAGUAAUACAAGUUUACAGAUGUUUCCUGGAGCUUCUCCUGGGCCAGAGCCUGGAGCAACUCUUACUGGAUCUGCCCGGCCUCCUGCAAAUAUAACAGAUGUAAGUCUAAACAAAUGAGAAGAAAGUUUUUGCCGACUGAACAAUACUUUUGGUCCAUUUUAGUACUUUUCCAGUUAAAUAACUUCUGGCUAACAAUCAGGUAUUUCUGUUCUGCUAACUGUUCAUGAACUGUGUGGCAAGCUCUGAACUUUCAUCACCACAUUAUUUGGCAAAAUUUAGCCAAAAUUCUGCAGAACAUUUUAGCACUAAUGCUCAGCUAGUUUAAGCCUAUUAUUAAAACAAUAAUAAUAAAAAUCAUCUUUGUCAU